AUUGAACGCUGGCGGCAGGCCUAACACAUGCAAGUCGAACGGUAGCACAGAGAGCUUGCUCUCGGGUGACGAGUGGCGGACGGGUGAGUAAUGUCUGGGAAACUGCCCGAUGGAGGGGGAUAACUACUGGAAACGGUAGCUAAUACCGCAUAACGUCGCAAGACCAAAGUGGGGGACCUUCGGGCCUCACACCAUCGGAUGUGCCCAGAUGGGAUUAUGCUAGUAGGUGGGGUAAUGGCUCACCUAGGCGACGAUCCCUAGCUGGGCUGAGAGGAUGACCAGCCACACUGGCACUGAGCCACGGUCCAGACUCCUACGGGAGGCAGCAGUGGGGAAUAUUGCACAAUGGGCGCAUGCCUGAUGCAGCCAUGCCGCGUGUAUGAAGAAGGCCUUCGGGUUGUAAAGUACUUUCAGCGUGGAGGAAGGCGGUGGAGUUAAUAACUUCACCGAUUGACGUUACCCGCAGAAGAAGCACCGGCUAACUCCGUGCCAGCCGCCGCCGUAA
This 505-nucleotide ribosomal RNA is filed under the name uncultured bacterium. Its description in RNAcentral is "partial 16S ribosomal RNA". It matches the Rfam family "Bacterial small subunit ribosomal RNA", at positions 30 to 523 of the family's 1533-position model. The record is from RNAcentral.